CGAACGUUAGCGGCGGGCUUAACACAUGCAAGUCGAACGCGAACGGCUGUGCUUGCACAGCUUAUUAGAGUGGCGCACGGGUGAGUAACACGUAGGUAAUCUAUCCCUUGGUUCGGAACAACCAUUAGAAAUGAUGGCUAAUACCAAGUAAGCUUGAGACGGCUCCGGCUGUUUCGAGGAUAGCUGAGAAGCGACGAGGGAGGAGCCUGCGCUCCAUCCGUUUGUUUGGUGAGGUAACGGCUCACCAAGACUGCGACGGAUAGCUGGUCUGAGAGGAUGAUCAGCCACACUGGGACUGAGACACGGCCCAGACUCCUACGGGAGGCAGCAGUGGGGAAUAUUGGACAAUGGGCGGAAGCCUGAUCCAGCCACGCCGCGUGCAGGAAGAAGGUCUUCGGAUCGUAAACUGCUGUUGAGAGGGAAGAAAGGCUCCCGAAGAGGGAGAGAUGACGGUACCUCUUUAGAAAGCACCGGCUAACUCC
This 482-nucleotide ribosomal RNA is filed under the name uncultured bacterium. Its description in RNAcentral is "bacterial SSU rRNA". It matches the Rfam family "Bacterial small subunit ribosomal RNA", at positions 30 to 504 of the family's 1533-position model. The record is from RNAcentral.